RNAcentral lists this ribosomal RNA (433 nucleotides) under uncultured bacterium. RNAcentral's name for it is "partial 16S ribosomal RNA". It matches the Rfam family "Bacterial small subunit ribosomal RNA", at positions 29 to 507 of the family's 1533-position model. The record is from RNAcentral.
AACGAACGCUGGCGGCAGGCCUAACACAUGCAAGUCGAGCGCGCCCUUCGGGGUGAGCGGCGGACGGGUGAGUAACGCGUGGGAACGUGCCCUUUUCUACGGAAUAGCCUCGGGAAACUGAGAGUAAUACCGUAUACGCCCUUUGGGGGAAAGAUUUAUCGGAAAAGGAUCGGCCCGCGUUGGAUUAGGUAGUUGGUGGGGUAAUGGCCUACCAAGCCGACGAUCCAUAGCUGGUUUGAGAGGAUGAUCAGCCACACUGGGACUGAGACACGGCCCAGACUCCUACGGGAGGCAGCAGUGGGGAAUCUUAGACAAUGGGGGCAACCCUGAUCUAGCCAUGCCGCGUGAGUGAUGAAGGCCUUAGGGUUGUGAAGCUCUUUCAGCUGGGAAGAUAAUGACGGUACCAGCAGAAGAAGCCCCGGCUAACUCCGUG